UACGUAGGGGCAAGCGUUGUCCGGAUUUAUUGGGCGUAAAGAGCGUGUAGGCGGUCCGUUAAGUCGGCUGUGAAAGUCCAAGGCUCAACCUUGGGAUGCCGGUCGGUACUGCCGGACUAGAGUUCGGAAGAGGCGAGUGGAAUUCCUGGUGUAGCGGUGAAAUGCGCAGAUAUCAGGAGGAACACCAAUUGCGAAGGCAGCUCGCUGGGACGUAACUGACGCUGAGACGCGAAAGCGUGGGGAGCAAACAGG
This 252-nucleotide ribosomal RNA is filed under the name uncultured bacterium. RNAcentral describes it as "partial 16S ribosomal RNA". It matches the Rfam family "Bacterial small subunit ribosomal RNA", at positions 524 to 776 of the family's 1533-position model. The record is from RNAcentral.